RNAcentral lists this ribosomal RNA (195 nucleotides) under uncultured bacterium. RNAcentral's name for it is "partial 16S ribosomal RNA". It matches the Rfam family "Bacterial small subunit ribosomal RNA", at positions 326 to 539 of the family's 1533-position model. The record is from RNAcentral.
ACGCUCGACACCUACAGGCAGCAGUGGGGAAUAUUGCACAAUGGGGGAAACCCUGAUGCAGCGACGCCGCGUGAGCGAAGAAGUAUCUCGGUAUGUAAAGCUCUAUCAGCAGGGAAGAAGAUGACGGUACCUGACUAAGAAGCACCGGCUAAAUACGUGCCAGCAGCCGCGGUAAUCUGAGCGGGCUGGCAAGGC